RNAcentral lists this long non-coding RNA (1429 nucleotides) under Triticum aestivum (bread wheat). RNAcentral describes it as "long non-coding RNA (TAES_LNC020794)". The record is from RNAcentral. Lineage: Eukaryota; Viridiplantae; Streptophyta; Magnoliopsida; Poales; Poaceae.
CAAAAUAAACAAGUACUAUUGUAUUAUCGUUAUUUUCCUUAUAUAAGAAAACUCAACAUAACGCGUUUUGGUUGCCUGCUGUCAGUCAAGCUAAUAGACUAUCAGGAAAAAGAAUCCAGAAACAAUCGUAGAAUAUACUGCACGCAUUUGGACAACGUGCUGUUCUGCAGAUACAGUGUCUCCCUGGACACAAAAGGAGCAAACCGAGAAUAAUCACUUGAUCAGAGCAUCAAACAGAACCAGAUAUUUCUUCUCCACGAACACGUAUGGUCCAAGCUUAGCUAGAGACGCACACGCACUCUGAAAUUUUCAGACAAAGACAACUAAUUUUAUAUGAAAUCCUGCGCGUUUGACAUCCACUUAAAAAAGCUUUUGCUCAUGAUUUUGUCCUUUGCACAAUCUGAAGAGGCAUGUCGUUUUUGCUGCCUCCGGUGGAGAUGGAGUGGAUGCCCCAAUAAACAGUCGCCAAUUUGGUUAGGCCAUCAAGGCCGCCGCCGACCGAUCGACGUCAACAACACACCGGACCUGAUAGGGCGGGCAUGCGUUGAUCCAGGUGUCCAUCCAUCUCUGGCCUGAAUCAGUGGCUUUGGCACUACAAGCGGCUCAUUUAGUGGCUAAUAAUUCUUGUUUCAUGUUGUAAAAAGUUCAGAGUGGGGGCUGCGUGUCCACCUGUACCUUCAGGCUGAAAUGGCGGCCGAGUGCGUGACCGACCAGGGGGUCCUUUCAAGCUACCUGCAACAAGCACCCGCAGACGCACGCGCGCACGAAUCAGCUCGGAAAUAUCUAUACAGAAAAGAAGAAGAGGAAAAUCAGUUUUGUAUGGGCUCAUUUGAUUUGCAGAAUUCUAAAAACCUAGGAAUAAAAAACACAUAAAUAUGAUAGAAAUGCAUGUACAAAACGGAGGGAUUCUAUAAACUUUCAUGUUUAAUUCACAGGAAUAAGAAAAAUACAAAAAUCCUACUCCCUUCGAUCCAAACUGUUAAGGAUUAAUUAAAUCCUAAUAAUCAAUGCUUAGGUCGGUUGUUUAGUUUAAUGUAAUUACCGCCUCUGUACAUGGGUAUAAAUACCCUAUUCUUCAGUCAGUGCAGUUACUGUUCAAUCCAUUCGUUCCUCUCUCUCUUUUUCUUCUUUACACGUUAUCAACACUUUGCCCUAACCUGGAGCGAGCGAUUAGGCCACCCACAUCAAUCCGUCACCGGCGACGUCCUUGAUGCCCGAGAGGCAGCAAGGUUUCUCCGACACGACCGGAUGCCCAGCGUUCCUUGACGCAUCUCGUUGUCCCCGGCGGCAGCCCACGCCCUCCGGCGCGUGGUGCGAGCACGCCGCACCCUGCAGAGCGGCACGGCGGCGCAGGUCUCCAGACGGCGCGUGGUCGCGUGGCCUCGACCUCCCGCAUCAGCCGGAGGCGUUCGCGGCACAGGCGCAGGCG